This 252-nucleotide ribosomal RNA is filed under the name uncultured bacterium. Its description in RNAcentral is "partial 16S ribosomal RNA". It matches the Rfam family "Bacterial small subunit ribosomal RNA", at positions 524 to 776 of the family's 1533-position model. The record is from RNAcentral.
UACGAAGGGUGCAAACGUUAUUCGGAAUCACUGGGCGUAAAGGGUGCGUAGACGGCAUGUUAAGUUCGUUGUUAAAGGCUCCGGCCUAACCGGAGUACCGCGAUGAAAACUGGCGUACUAGAGGGUGAGAGAGAUAAGUGGAAUUCCUGGAGUAGCGGUAAAAUGCGUGGAUCUCAGGAGGAACACCAAUGGCGAAGGCAGCUUCUUGGCUCAUUCCUGACGUUGAGGCACGAAAGCGUGGGAGCAAACAGG